AGAGUUUGAUUAUGGCUCAGAUUGAACGCUGGCGGCAGGCCUAACACAUGCAAGUCGAGCGGUAGAGAGAAGCUUGCUUCUCUUGAGAGCGGCGGACGGGUGAGUAAUGCCUAGGAAUCUGCCUGGUAGUGGGGGAUAACGUUCGGAAACGGACGCUAAUACCGCAUACGUCCUACGGGAGAAAGCAGGGGACCUUCGGGCCUUGCGCUAUCAGAUGAGCCUAGGUCGGAUUAGCUAGUUGGUGAGGUAAUGGCUCACCAAGGCGACGAUCCGUAACUGGUCUGAGAGGAUGAUCAGUCACACUGGAACUGAGACACGGUCCAGACUCCUACGGGAGGCAGCAGUGGGGAAUAUUGCGCAAUGGGCGAAAGCCUGACGCAGCGACGCCGCGUGGGGGAUGACGGCCUUCGGGUUGUAAACCUCUUUCGACCGGGACGAAGCGCAAGUGACGGUACCGGUAGAAGAAGCACCGGCUAACUUCGUGCCAGCAGCCGCGGUAAU
RNAcentral lists this ribosomal RNA (501 nucleotides) under uncultured Gammaproteobacteria bacterium. Its description in RNAcentral is "bacterial SSU rRNA". It matches the Rfam family "Bacterial small subunit ribosomal RNA", at positions 8 to 524 of the family's 1533-position model. Lineage: Bacteria; Pseudomonadati; Pseudomonadota; Gammaproteobacteria. The record is from RNAcentral.